This 253-nucleotide ribosomal RNA is filed under the name uncultured bacterium. RNAcentral describes it as "partial 16S ribosomal RNA". It matches the Rfam family "Bacterial small subunit ribosomal RNA", at positions 524 to 776 of the family's 1533-position model. The record is from RNAcentral.
UACGGGGGGGGCAAGCGUUGUUCGGAAUUACUGGGCGUAAAGCGCGCGUAGGCGGCUCUUCAAGUCAGGCGUGAAAGCCCCAGGCUUAACCUGGGAACUGCGUUUGAUACUGUUGAGCUAGAGUGUGGAAGGGGCUACUGGAAUUCCCGGUGUAGUGGUGAAAUGCGUAGAUAUCGGGAGGAACACCAGUGGCGAAGGCGACUUCCUGGCCUGUUCUUGACGCUGAGGCGCGAAAGCUAGGGGAGCAAACGGG